CUUGCCGCGUUCUUACACAUGCAAGUCGAACGAUGAACCGCUUUCGGGCGGGGAUUAGUGGCGAACGGGUGAGUAACACGUGGGCAAUCUGCCCUGCACUCUGGGACAAGCCCUGGAAACGGGGUCUAAUACCGGAUAUGACUGUCCGCCGCAUGGUGGAUGGUGUAAAGCUCCGGCGGUGCAGGAUGAGCCCGCGGCCUAUCAGCUUGUUGGUGAGGUAGUGGCUCACCAAGGCGACGACGGGUAGCCGGCCUGAGAGGGCGACCGGCCACACUGGGACUGAGACACGGCCCAGACUCCUACGGGAGGCAGCAGUGGGGAAUAUUGCACAAUGGGCGAAAGCCUGAUGCAGCGACGCCGCGUGAGGGAUGACGGCCUUCGGGUUGUAAACCUCUUUCAGCAGGGAAGAAGCGAGAGUGACGGUACCUGCAGAAGAAGCGCCGGCUAACUACGUGCCAGCAGCCGCGGUAAUACGUAGGGCGCAAGCGUUGUCCGGAAUUAUUGGGCGUAAAGAGCUCGUAGGCGGCUUGUCACGUCGGUUGUGAAAGCCCGGGGCUUAACCCCGGGUCUGCAGUCGAUACGGGCAGGCUAGAGUUCGGUAGGGGAGAUCGGAAUUCCUGGUGUAGCGGUGAAAUGCGCAGAUAUCAGGAGGAACACCGGUGGCGAAGGCGGAUCUCUGGGCCGAUACUGACGCUGAGGAGCGAAAGCGUGGGGAGCGAACAGGAUUAGAUACUCUGGUAGUCCACGCCCGUAAACGGUGGGCACUAGGUGUGGGGCAACGUUCCACGUUUGUCCGUG
Molecule: ribosomal RNA, 798 nt
Filed under: Streptomyces sp.
Lineage: Bacteria; Bacillati; Actinomycetota; Actinomycetes; Kitasatosporales; Streptomycetaceae
Description: bacterial SSU rRNA
Rfam family: Bacterial small subunit ribosomal RNA
Source: RNAcentral